GCGGCCGUGGCGAAACGGCAGACGCGCUAGCUUCAGGAGCUAGUGGGGGAAACUCCAUGGUGGUUCAAAUCCACUCGGCCGCA
This 83-nucleotide transfer RNA is filed under the name Pectinatus cerevisiiphilus. It matches the Rfam family "tRNA". Rfam says of the family: Transfer RNA (tRNA) molecules are approximately 80 nucleotides in length. Their secondary structure includes four short double-helical elements and three loops (D, anti-codon, and T loops). Lineage: Bacteria; Bacillati; Bacillota; Negativicutes; Selenomonadales; Selenomonadaceae. The record is from Rfam by way of RNAcentral.